This 254-nucleotide ribosomal RNA is filed under the name uncultured bacterium. RNAcentral describes it as "partial 16S ribosomal RNA". It matches the Rfam family "Bacterial small subunit ribosomal RNA", at positions 524 to 776 of the family's 1533-position model. The record is from RNAcentral.
UACGAAGGGGGCUAGCGUUGUUCGGAAUUACUGGGCGUAAAGCGCGCGUAGGCGGUUUUGCAAGCCAGAGGUGAAAUGCCUGAGCUCAACUUAGGAAUUGCCUUUGGGACUGCGAGGCUUUGAGGACUGGAGAGGUGAGUGGAAUUCCUGGUGUAGCGGUGGAAUGCGCAGAUAUCAGGAGGAACACCGAUGGCGAAGGCAGCUCGCUGGGACGGUACUGACGCUGAGGCGCGAAAGCGUGGGGAGCGAACAGG